RNAcentral lists this ribosomal RNA (393 nucleotides) under uncultured bacterium. RNAcentral's name for it is "partial 16S ribosomal RNA". It matches the Rfam family "Bacterial small subunit ribosomal RNA", at positions 523 to 918 of the family's 1533-position model. The record is from RNAcentral.
AUACGGAAGGUCCGGGCGUUAUCCGGAUUUAUUGGGAUUAAAGGGAGCGCAGGCGGCCUUUUAAGCGUGACGUGAAAUGUAGGCGCUCAACCGUGGAACUGCGUCGCGAACUGGUUUUCUUGAGUGAGUGCGACGUCGGCGGAAUUCGUGGUGUAGCGGUGAAAUGCUUAGAUAUCACGAAGAACCACGAUUGCGAAGGCAGCCGACGAGUCCUUAACUGACGCUAAAGCUCGAAAGUGCGGGUAUCGAACAGGAUUAGAUACCCUGGUAGUCCGCACGGUAAACGAUGGAUGCCCGCUGUUUGCGAUACAUUGUAAGCGGCCAAGAGAAAUCGUUAAGCAUCCCACCUGGGGAGUACGCCGGCAACGGUGAAACUCAAAGGAAUUGACGGGG